UCGCAUUCAGUUGCCAUCGGGUAAUGCCGGGCGACUCUGGAAGGACUGCCAUCGACAAGAUGGAGGAAGGUGGGGAGUGACGUCAAGUCAUCAUGGCCCUUACUGUCCAGGGCGACACACGUGCUACAAUGGCCGGCACAACGGGAAGCGAGUUCGCGAGGACGAGCGGAUCCCUUAAAGCCGGUCGCAGUUCGGAUUGAAGUCUGCAACCCGACUUCAUGAAGCUGGAAUCGCUAGUAAUCGUGGAUCAGCCAAGCCGCGGUGAAUACGUUCCCGGGCCUU
RNAcentral lists this ribosomal RNA (282 nucleotides) under uncultured Synergistaceae bacterium. RNAcentral describes it as "partial 16S ribosomal RNA". It matches the Rfam family "Bacterial small subunit ribosomal RNA", at positions 1105 to 1382 of the family's 1533-position model. The record is from RNAcentral. Lineage: Bacteria; Thermotogati; Synergistota; Synergistia; Synergistales; Synergistaceae.